AAAUAGCCCCGACAGCAGCGGCAUCCUUUUUGUUUUUUUCUUUAAAAACAAAAAGAUAUAGCGAAUGGCGGGAACUGUA
Molecule: small RNA, 79 nt
Filed under: Flavobacterium branchiophilum
Lineage: Bacteria; Pseudomonadati; Bacteroidota; Flavobacteriia; Flavobacteriales; Flavobacteriaceae
Description: Flavo-1 RNA
Rfam family: Flavo-1 RNA
Source: RNAcentral